Molecule: unclassified non-coding RNA, 174 nt
Filed under: uncultured fungus
Lineage: Eukaryota; Fungi
Description: sequence contains ITS1, 5.8S rRNA gene
Source: RNAcentral
CAGGGGUUUUCAAAUGCCAAGCUUUGGAGUCGGAGGUUUUGCCUCCCCUCCGGGCGGCAUUAUAACCACCUUAAUUCACCGUGUGCACUCAUUGGACUAUGGAGUAUUUCAUAGUUCCCAAUCUUUCUACGUCUUAUCACAUGUCUGAUAUAUUAUUUUUAAAUUUGACAAAUA